RNAcentral lists this ribosomal RNA (252 nucleotides) under uncultured bacterium. RNAcentral describes it as "partial 16S ribosomal RNA". It matches the Rfam family "Bacterial small subunit ribosomal RNA", at positions 524 to 776 of the family's 1533-position model. The record is from RNAcentral.
UACGUAGGGACCAAGCGUUGUUCGGAUUUACUGGGCGUAAAGGGCGCGUAGGCGGCAAUUCAAGUCAGCUGUGAAAUCUCCGGGCUUAACUCGGACGGUCAGCUGAUACUGCUUUGCUAGAGUGCAGAAGGGGCAAUCGGAAUUCUUGGUGUAGCGGUGAAAUGCGUAGAUAUCAAGAGGAACACCUGAGGUGAAGACGGGUUGCUGGGCUGACACUGACGCUGAGGCGCGAAAGCUAGGGUAGCAAACGGG